AGCAGCCGCGGUAAUUCCAGCUCCAAUAGCGUAUAUUAAAGUUGUUGCAGUUAAAAAGCUCGUAGUUGAAUUUCGGGAUUAGUACGUUGGUCGUGCCUUGGUACGUACUGGUGUAACUGAUUCCUCCCUUCUGACGAACCGUUAUGCCAUUAAUUUGGUGUGGCGGGAAAUCAGGACUGUUACUUUGAAAAAUUAGAGUGUUUAAAGCAGGCUCGCGCUUGAAUACAUUAGCAUGGAAUAAUGAAAUAGGACGUUAAUCCUAUUUUGUUGGUUUCUAGGAUCGACGUAAUGAUUAAUAGGGAUAGUUGGGGGCAUUAGUAUUCAAUUGUCAGAGGUGAAAUUCUUGGAUUUAUUGAAGACUAACUACUGCGAAAGCAUUUGCCAAGGAUGUUUUCAUUAAUCAAGAACGAAAGUUAGGGGAUCGAAGACGAUCAGAUACCGUCGUAGUCUUAACCGUAAACUAUGCCGACUAGG
RNAcentral lists this small RNA (474 nucleotides) under uncultured Glomus. RNAcentral's name for it is "SSU rRNA". It matches the Rfam family "Eukaryotic small subunit ribosomal RNA", at positions 569 to 1050 of the family's 1831-position model. Lineage: Eukaryota; Fungi; Glomeromycota; Glomeromycetes; Glomerales; Glomeraceae. The record is from RNAcentral.